Molecule: ribosomal RNA, 253 nt
Filed under: uncultured bacterium
Lineage: Bacteria
Description: partial 16S ribosomal RNA
Rfam family: Bacterial small subunit ribosomal RNA
Source: RNAcentral
UACGAAGGGGGCUAGCGUUGUUCGGAAUUACUGGGCGUAAAGCGCGCGCAGGCGGUUUUCCAAGUCAGUGGUGAAAGCCCGGAGCUCAACUCCGGAACUGCCAUUGAAACUGGCGAACUUGAGUACGAGAGAGGUGAGUGGAAUUCCCAGUGCAGAGGUGAAAUUCGUAGAUAUUGGGAAGAACACCGGUGGCGAAGGCGGCUCUCUGGACCGUAACUGACGCUGAGGCGCGAAAGCGUGGGGAGCAAACAGG